Molecule: ribosomal RNA, 305 nt
Filed under: uncultured bacterium
Lineage: Bacteria
Description: bacterial SSU rRNA
Rfam family: Bacterial small subunit ribosomal RNA
Source: RNAcentral
UCCUACGGGGGGCAGCAGUGGGGGAUAUUGCACAAUGGGGGGAACCCUGAUGCAGCGACGCCGCGUGGGUGAAGAAGCGCCUCGGCGCGUAAAGCCCUGUCAGCAGGGAAGAAAAUGACGGUACCUGAAGAAGAAGCCCCGGCUAACUACGUGCCAGCAGCCGCGGUAAUACGUAGGGGGCAAGCGUUAUCCGGAUUUACUGGGUGUAAAGGGAGCGUAGGCGGUGAUGCAAGUCAGAAGUGAAAGCCCGCAGCUCAACUGCGGGACUGCUUUUGAAACUGUAUGACUAGAUUGCAGGAGAGGUA